CUUCCCGCAUCCAGUGUAGUCUCUGGAGAAAGAAUGCCUGAGCUUUACCAGCACCACCCAGGAAGCCCAUAAGAAUAUUCCCAUCUAUAUGGAUUCAACUGGAACCACUGUGGAGAGAUGGUACCUGCCUGCAAACGGCACUUUAUCCAGGACACCUGCCUUUACGAGUGACCCCCCAACUUGGGGCCCUGGAUCCAGCAGGGAUCAGAGCUGGCGCAAAGAGUGGGUGCUGAAUGUGCCCCUGUGCAAAGAGGACUGUGAGCAAUGGUGGGAAGAUUGUCGCACCUCCUACACCUGCAAGAGCAAUGGGCACAAGGGCUGGAACUGGACCUCAGUCUAACAAGUGCCAGGUGGCAGCUGCCUGACUACCUUUCCAUCUCUACUUUCUCACACCCACUGCUCUGUGCAGUGAAAUCUGGACUCACUCCUACAGGGUCAGCAACUACAACCGAGGGAGCAGCCGCUGCAUCCAGAUGUGGUUCGACCUGGCCCAGGGCAACCCCAAUGAGGAGGUGGCAAGGUUCUAUGCUGCAGCUCUGAGUGGGGCUGGGCCCUGGGCAGCCUGGCCUCUCCUGCUCAACCUGGCCCUAAUGCUGCUGUGGCUGCUCA
Molecule: long non-coding RNA, 609 nt
Filed under: Homo sapiens (human)
Lineage: Eukaryota; Metazoa; Chordata; Mammalia; Primates; Hominidae
Description: non-protein coding lnc-FOLR3-2:1
Source: RNAcentral